AGCAGUAGCCGCGGGAAUACGUAGGGUGCAAGCGUUAAUCGGAAUUACUGGGCGUAAAGCGUGCGCAGGCGGUGUUGUAAGACUGAUGUGAAAUCCCCGGGCUCAACCUGGGAACUGCAUUGGUGACUGCAACGCUGGAGUGCGGCAGAGGGGGAUGGAAUUCCGCGUGUAGCAGUGAAAUGCGUAGAGAUCGGAAGGAACAUCUGUGGCGAAGGCGACUAUCUGGGCCAACACUGACACUGAGGCACGAAAGCGUGGGGAGCAAACAGGAUUAGAUACCCGCGUAGUCCCUGUCUCUUAUAA
This 303-nucleotide ribosomal RNA is filed under the name uncultured bacterium. RNAcentral's name for it is "partial 16S ribosomal RNA". It matches the Rfam family "Bacterial small subunit ribosomal RNA", at positions 507 to 809 of the family's 1533-position model. The record is from RNAcentral.